Molecule: ribosomal RNA, 253 nt
Filed under: uncultured bacterium
Lineage: Bacteria
Description: partial 16S ribosomal RNA
Rfam family: Bacterial small subunit ribosomal RNA
Source: RNAcentral
UAUGUAGGGAGCGAGCGUUGUCCGGAUUUACUGGGUGUAAAGGGUGCGCAGGCGGCUCUGCAAGUCAGGCGUGAAAGCUAGGGGCUCAACCCCUAAACUGCGCUUGAAACUGUGGAGCUUGAGUGAAGUAGAGGCAGGCGGAAUUCCCGGUGUAGCGGUGAAAUGCGUAGAGAUCGGGAGGAACACCAGUGGCGAAGGCGGCCUGCUGGGCUUUAACUGACGCUCAGGCACGUAAGCAUGGGUAGCAAACAGG